CGUGCGUCCAAGAGGCUCUACACCUGGCGGGACGAGCACAGGCCUCGGCAGCAGACGGUACCCUGACUAGGAAGCAACAUUACUGCAAGUGGAAUGAUCCUUGUGGUGUUAGGAUGCUGUGGAAGUGAUUCUUCGAAAGCUUUAUGGUGGACAGAUUCUGCAGGUUCUGUAUGGCGACGAGAGGCGAGAUGCAAGGCAAGGAGAUGACUGCAAACCAGAAGAUGACCUUGAGGGUCAUUCUAACAGAGUCGGAUAUAAGAAAAGUCAUCCUAACCACAAGGCCCUCUACAGUCGAAGAUUUGAUAAGCAAGCUUAAAGAAUCACUGGGACUUCAUUAUAACUUCAGUCUCCAAUACCAAGAC
Molecule: long non-coding RNA, 362 nt
Organism: Micropterus dolomieu (smallmouth bass)
Lineage: Eukaryota; Metazoa; Chordata; Actinopteri; Centrarchiformes; Centrarchidae
Exons: 4
Source: RefSeq, a predicted model, not a curated record